This 255-nucleotide ribosomal RNA is filed under the name uncultured bacterium. RNAcentral describes it as "partial 16S ribosomal RNA". It matches the Rfam family "Bacterial small subunit ribosomal RNA", at positions 524 to 776 of the family's 1533-position model. The record is from RNAcentral.
GACGUAGGGCGCGAGCGUUGUCCGGAUUUAUUGGGCGUAAAGAGCUCGUAGGCGGUCUGUCGCGUCGAUCGUGAAAACUUGGGGCUUAACCCUGAGCUUGCGGUCGAUACGGGCAUGACUGGAGUUCGGCAGGGGAGAGUGGAAUUCCUGAUGUAGCGGUGAAAUGCGCAGAUAUCAGGAGGAACACCGGUGGCGAAGGCAGGUCUCUGGGCCGAUACUGACGCUGGAGGAGCGAAAGCGUGGGGAGCGAACAGG